RNAcentral lists this non-coding RNA (30 nucleotides) under Mus musculus (house mouse). The record is from RNAcentral. Lineage: Eukaryota; Metazoa; Chordata; Mammalia; Rodentia; Muridae.
GGGGAAAAACACUCCUACUGAGUAACAAUG